GUGUCAGCAGCCGCGGUAAUACAGAGGCCCCAAGCGUUAGUCGGAAUCACUGGGCUUAAAGGGUGCGUAGGCGGGUCAGUAAGUGUCUUGUGAAAGCCCACGGCUCAACCGUGGAACCGCAGGGCAUACUGCUGAUCUUGAGGAAGGUAGAGGCCGGUGGAACGAUAGGUGGAGCGGUGGAAUGCGUAGAGAUCUAUCGGAACGCCAAUGGUGAAGACAGCCGGCUGGGCCUUUCCUGACGCUGAGGCACGAAAGCGUGGGGAGCAAACAGGAUUAGAUACCCUGGUAGUCC
This 292-nucleotide ribosomal RNA is filed under the name uncultured bacterium. RNAcentral describes it as "partial 16S ribosomal RNA". It matches the Rfam family "Bacterial small subunit ribosomal RNA", at positions 505 to 796 of the family's 1533-position model. The record is from RNAcentral.